This is a long non-coding RNA of Hordeum vulgare subsp. vulgare (domesticated barley), 2037 nucleotides long. RefSeq lists it as uncharacterized. NCBI's taxonomy places the organism in Eukaryota, Viridiplantae, Streptophyta, Magnoliopsida, Poales, Poaceae. The record is from RefSeq and is a predicted model, not a curated record. The transcript has 2 exons.
AAAUCCAGCAAUCGCCUCUCACUCCUCGCACUUCCUCCGCAACUCGCCCCGCGCCGCCACCCAUCUCCGCCUCCUCUCCCAAAUCCUUCCUGCCGCCAUGGCUAAGCGCAUCACCACCUCCCCGAGCUCUUUCCAUCUCUCCAGGGCGUGAUCAGUUCCACGAAAAGGAGGCCCCCGGUGAAGUAGCGUCCUGUGAUGGAUCGAUCGAUGUGGCCGAUGGCUAACGCCGGCAUGCGACGGGGAGGCCACCACCUCUCUUCGUCUCCUCCCAGCAUCUCGAUCUGGAGCGAGCGCAGGGGGUGGCAUACGAGGCCAUAGGCCGCCGCUGGCGACGCCUCUGCAUCGUCGUCGACCGAAUUAGGGGAGCAGCAUGCGACGAUUCUAGCGUUAGGAGAAGUUCAGACUUAGGAGAGGUUCAGACUGCGGUGCUACACAGCUGCGUCACCAGCCCUUCUGCAGGUAUGCAAGCUCAUCCUCUUCUCUUAUUUCAUACUAAUGCAAAGGAGAGGUACAAAUCGGGAGAUUGGUUUCUCAAUCAAGGGAAUGACUAGAACAUCUAUUUUGGGAGUGAUGACUUCCAGAUUUACCUUUGUUAUGUUAACUGUAUGGGAUCUUGAUCCAAAGUUCCAUAAAUUUACACUUGCUAUGUUAACUGUAUGGUGUUGACCCAAAGUUGAAAACUUUUCUUAGUCGUAUGUUGGAUGGCCAGAUCUAUGAAAACUUUUCUGUAGAAGUUAUAUGGUUUACACUUUAUACUCUUAUUCUCAAAUUUUUUUCCACUUGUAAUUGCUGGUGGGGAAUGAACUAGAGUCAGACUUUGGGAUGUUCUGGGAAGAAUUCUGCUAUUUCAUCUCUAAAAAGUCCGAAAGCGCAAUUCAUGAGUUAUCUGACUCAGUUUGGUAAGUGACAUGCGUAAAUUUUUGUUUCCUUGUGUAUCUCAUGAUGAUGCUUCAUAGAUAGGCUAUGGGGCUUGGCUUGAGAAGCAGCAAACAACUUGUCUCUGUAGAUUAUACUUUAUAUAUAUGCCUACAAGGUGUUAGAUAUAAUAAACAUACCGGCUGCAAAGGAUAAUUAUUCUAUGUAAUGUUGUUCCUUAUUGUGCCCUGAAUAAUUUAUACAUUUGAUGUAUUAGCUUGAUGUGUUCUUCCUGUAGCUGCCUAAGUUUAUUUACAUGGUUCUGUGGCCUACUUAACAAUAUGAUUGUUUUCUUUAUUCUAUAUUUCUGCCUCGCCAGGCCCUUGGGUUAUCUCUGCUUUAUUUGUGUGUACGUCCAUUUGUUUUUUUCCAAAUUUUCUGAAAUUUCACCAUGAACAUUUCUUUUUUGCAUUCCUGAGCAUUCGCCAAUUUAACCUUCAUAUUUGAUGUUUCGUCGUGUGUUAAGGUACUCAUGGGUUUCUUUGUUCUCACAUGAUAUAGUUUUCCAUGCCUUUUGGGAAUAUUAAUAUGUUGACUGUCGUACAGCCUGCAAAACCAUAAUUUUGGUUUUAAAUUCCUUUAUAUAGGGAUGAUGUGUUUUUCUUUUAUAUUUGUUGUUUAAGAAAAGCUAAUAACUACUCAUAUUAUUAUGACUGUUGAUUACAUUCAGUAAAAAUCCUAUUCGGCAAUUUAAAUCUCAGUGAAUGUGAUACUUCACUACACAUGCGCUCAGAUUUUUCGAAGUUCUCAUCUCAGGUAUGAAUUCGAUUGGAUCGGACUACCAAAAAAUAUUUUACUUGCAGUUCCCAUUGUUGCAGGUAUUGAUUCAUCCCGGUUCUUCCUAGAUUUAUCCAUUAGGUAAUCAUUGCUUUUCUUAUUAAUGCAUUUGCUCAUAGCCAGAUUCUUUAAUAGCCAAAAUAGUGCUCCUUAAGUUAUUUUUUAUUUCAGGCAAUAAGAGCAUACCUCACUUGUUGCAGUGUUUAGACCAGAAUUAUGCAUGAUUUUGGGUUCAUCUAGUGAAAAAUUUCAGUUCUACUAUGUAUAUUCUUGGAUGCUUGGAUUUAGUAUUAGAACUGGAGGUUCUACAUAAAUACAAAUGAUGUGUGAAUUUUUCUGUUGAAA